Molecule: long non-coding RNA, 1247 nt
Organism: Girardinichthys multiradiatus
Lineage: Eukaryota; Metazoa; Chordata; Actinopteri; Cyprinodontiformes; Goodeidae
Exons: 3
Source: RefSeq, a predicted model, not a curated record
UCUGUGCUCUCGGUGUAUCAAUCUGCUCGCACGUGGAUUACUCCUGCGCGCUCGUGUGAAACAUUUGGCUGUUUAGAAGAAAAAAGACAUUUACCUGCCUAUGAUUGGCCACUUUUCCGCUAUCCCCGCCCCAUGACCCCUGUUGCUAACCGUGACCAGCUAAUGCAUCUGAGAUGAAAACGUUUUUCAGGAAAUCGGAGUUUGAUUAGUUAAGGAAAUGACUGAUUCAAAGGAGGAGCACUUGCGGAGCAUGGCCGUAAAUGUAUUAACUAUGCUGCGAUCAGCAAGUGAACCAGCUGGUAUGUAAAAUAGAGCACUGUACACAACAUGGUUAUUAUUUACAUAUAAUAGUCUAUUUGGAAUGUGUUUUGAAUGUAUAAAAUACUUGUUGCAAUCUGGCACCACUGCUCUAAUACGUUAUUGUGCAGGCAGCACUGCUGCUGUUAAUGUUACAGCUAAUAUUAUUCAUGUGUAAUGUAUUGUAUAAUUAAGUUCAGGGACAGAGCCCUGCUGGGGCAGCCAGGGGACAGGAAACAGGGGGAGAGGCAACAGGACGACAGGGACUUAGUGAGGCACCCUCAUGUUCCACCCCAAUUCAGCGAAACAUGGCCGGGUUUGGAAAUACAUUUCCAAGGAUGUGUUAUAUCGCUGUAUUUUGACAAAUUCUCCAAGAGUGGAGAAUAUAUGUGAAGCUCUUAAUUAACUUUGAAGUUGUCCAUUCUUUUUUAAAAGAUGUUUUCCAGGUCUUUUUAAAGACAAAAAGGGAAAGGCGGUAAAGAGGGCAGGAAUAAAGAGAACACCGGUGGCUUUUUUUCCUUUUACACAAACCCACAGAAAAAACAUCAAAACAUUCUGAGGAGCUAACCCUUCUUCAAGCUGGGUUAGGAAAGAAGACAGUUCAAAUUCCUGAGGAUGGAAAUCACAAGGAGGUAUUUUCAUCAUCAUCAUUCUCUGCAAAUUCUUUAAUGGGAGCAGGAGAACACCAAGUCUUUGCUUGCACUUUCCAAUUGCUUAGUACCUUAUGCAGCACCCUCUGAUGUUUCUGCAUACUACUUUUUUUAACAUAUAAUAUUUACACACUGUUGAGACCAUCAGGUAUAUUUUAUCUGUACACUUGUCUGUUUUCUUUUUUAUUUUUAUUUGCCUUAAUCUGUUUCUGAGUACCAUUUUCGCAAAGUACAAUGUUUGCUAAACAAUUUUAAUGUAGUUAUCUUCCAUAUGAUUUUUGACAGAUCUUAGACAUUCUU